This 90-nucleotide transfer RNA is filed under the name Bacteroides sp. 224. RNAcentral's name for it is "tRNA-Ser". It matches the Rfam family "tRNA". Rfam says of the family: Transfer RNA (tRNA) molecules are approximately 80 nucleotides in length. The record is from RNAcentral. Lineage: Bacteria; Pseudomonadati; Bacteroidota; Bacteroidia; Bacteroidales; Bacteroidaceae.
GGAAGUAUGGGUGAAUUGGUGAAAUCAGCUCUUUGCUAAAGAGCCGAACGGUAAAACGUUCUGGGGGUUCGAGUCCCUCUGCUUCCGCGA